Corticium candelabrum is the source of this 702-nucleotide long non-coding RNA. RefSeq lists it as uncharacterized. The record is from RefSeq and is a predicted model, not a curated record. Lineage: Eukaryota; Metazoa; Porifera; Homoscleromorpha; Homosclerophorida; Plakinidae. The transcript is spliced from 2 exons.
UAGCGUCAUAGUUCUACUGGAUAGCAACUAGGUAGAGCGGGUCACGUCAGCAUCUGUCGUAACGUUGCUGCUGUAGAACUUGAAAACUGAUCGCACCUAUUCUCGGUCACAGAGUAUCAUAUCUCGGCUCAUUAUAUGACUUCCUUUCACCAAACUGUUGGUUUUGUCUUGUCAACUCUACUCUCGCAGACAACGAAGAAAACGAAUGACUCACGGGACAUAUCUCGGUCACCUGAUCUCGAGUGAUUUUCUCUCUUCAGACGCAGAUCUGAGACGUUCUUUUUGGCUAAUGUUAUAGUCAUCACCGCUGGCUACUAUACCUAUGGGGUGAUGUCAGUGCUCAUUGUACUGUUGCUACGGCAGAACGUAAAACCUGAGAGACAAAUGGUCGGACAUCCGGGAUUGUAUCUCGGUUAGUCGCUUUCUACAAGACGAAUUGAGACGCUAGUCAUGUCUGUUGAAAGGUUCGCUUUGGAUGUUUAUGCCACUGAAUAGCCUGUUUUGUCUCUUCAGUUUUUACUGUUGCAGGGCGGUGAGAAAGGGAUGGCGUACGGGACAUAAUGUUCGCGGUCACGCGAUUUUUAGGUUGUAUAGUAUUGUGUGAUUUUUAGUCUACUGUUGUUCUAGAGCUAUAUUGUCACGAAUGUGUCAGUCUAACUUACUAUUUGUAGCACUUCAAACAUGCAACGUGAUGACUCUGAA